UUUGAAUGAUGAAAAAUAUGCUGUCCUGAUUUAGGGCCAAAGGUUUCCUAUAUUUUUUUUUUCUUUUGAAAAAAGAAUGGUAACCUAUAUAAUCUUAAGAUGAUGGCUUAAUCUUCUCACUGACAAAA
Small nucleolar RNA from Plasmodium falciparum IGH-CR14, 128 nucleotides. It matches the Rfam family "small nucleolar RNA snoR14". NCBI's taxonomy places the organism in Eukaryota, Apicomplexa, Aconoidasida, Haemosporida, Plasmodiidae. The record is from Rfam.